Molecule: ribosomal RNA, 375 nt
Filed under: uncultured bacterium
Lineage: Bacteria
Description: bacterial SSU rRNA
Rfam family: Bacterial small subunit ribosomal RNA
Source: RNAcentral
UAGCCGGCCUGAGAGGGCGACCGGCCACACUGGGACUGAGACACGGCCCAGACUCCUACGGGAGGCAGCAGUGGGGAAUAUUGGGCAAUGGAGGAAACUCUGACCCAGCGACGCCGCGUGCGGGAUGAAGGCCUUCGGGUUGUAAACCGCUUUCAGCAGGGAAGAAGCGAAAGUGACGGUACCUGCAGAAGAAGCACCGGCUAACUAUGUGCCAGCAGCCGCGGUAAUACAUAGGGUGCAAGCGUUGUCCGGAAUUAUUGGGCGUAAAGAGCUCGUAGGUGGUUCGUCACGUCGGAUGUGAAACUCUGGGGCUUAACCCCAGACCUGCAUUCGAUACGGGCGAGCUUGAGUAUGGUAGGGGAGACUGGAAUUCCU